RNAcentral lists this ribosomal RNA (253 nucleotides) under uncultured bacterium. RNAcentral describes it as "partial 16S ribosomal RNA". It matches the Rfam family "Bacterial small subunit ribosomal RNA", at positions 524 to 776 of the family's 1533-position model. The record is from RNAcentral.
UACGAAGGGGGCUAGCGUUGUUCGGAAUUACUGGGCGUAAAGCGCACGUAGGCGGGUCGUUAAGUCAGGGGUGAAAUCCCGGAGCUCAACUCCGGAACUGCCUUUGAUACUGGCGAUCUAGAGAUCGAGAGAGGUGAGUGGAAUUCCGAGUGUAGAGGUGAAAUUCGUAGAUAUUCGGAAGAACACCAGUGGCGAAGGCGGCUCACUGGCUCGAUACUGACGCUGAGGUGCGAAAGCGUGGGGAGCAAACAGG